GCGGAUAUGGCGGAAUUGGUAGACGCGUACGCUUGAGGGGCGUAUGGCUUAGGCUGUGGGGGUUCAAAUCCCCCUAUCCGCA
RNAcentral lists this transfer RNA (82 nucleotides) under hydrothermal vent metagenome. RNAcentral's name for it is "tRNA-Leu-GAG". It matches the Rfam family "tRNA". From Rfam's summary of the family: Transfer RNA (tRNA) molecules are approximately 80 nucleotides in length. Their secondary structure includes four short double-helical elements and three loops (D, anti-codon, and T loops). The record is from RNAcentral.